GACAGAGGGUGCAACCGUUGCUCGGAAUUACUGGGCGUAAAGCGCGUGUAGGCUGACCGGAAAGUCGGGCGUGAAAUCCCUGGGCUCAACCCAGGAACUGCACUCGAAACUCCCGGUCCUGAGUGGUGGAGAGGGAAGUGGAAUUCCUGGUGUAGAGGUGAAAUUCGUAGAUAUCAGGAGGAACACCAGUGGCGAAGGCGGCUUCCUGGACACCAACUGACGCUGAGACGCGAAAGCGUGGGGAGCAAACAGG
Molecule: ribosomal RNA, 253 nt
Filed under: uncultured bacterium
Lineage: Bacteria
Description: partial 16S ribosomal RNA
Rfam family: Bacterial small subunit ribosomal RNA
Source: RNAcentral